This 29-nucleotide non-coding RNA is filed under the name Cricetulus griseus (Chinese hamster). Lineage: Eukaryota; Metazoa; Chordata; Mammalia; Rodentia; Cricetidae. The record is from RNAcentral.
GGUUAAAGAAUAUAUGAAGACCUGUGGUC